GCCCCGGUGGUGGAAUUGGUAGACGCGGCGGACUCAAAAUCCGCUUCUGGCAACAGAGUGCCGGUUCAAGUCCGGCCCGGGGCACCA
Molecule: transfer RNA, 87 nt
Filed under: Henriciella algicola
Lineage: Bacteria; Pseudomonadati; Pseudomonadota; Alphaproteobacteria; Hyphomonadales; Hyphomonadaceae
Also listed under: 2 other names
Description: tRNA-Leu
Rfam family: tRNA
About the family: Transfer RNA (tRNA) molecules are approximately 80 nucleotides in length. Their secondary structure includes four short double-helical elements and three loops (D, anti-codon, and T loops).
Source: RNAcentral